RNAcentral lists this ribosomal RNA (253 nucleotides) under uncultured bacterium. RNAcentral describes it as "partial 16S ribosomal RNA". It matches the Rfam family "Bacterial small subunit ribosomal RNA", at positions 524 to 776 of the family's 1533-position model. The record is from RNAcentral.
UACAGAGGGUGCGAGCGUUGUUCGGAAUUACUGGGCGUAAAGCGCACGUAGGCGGAUCUUUAAGUCAGGGGUGAAAUCCUGGAGCUCAACUCCAGAACUGCCUUUGAUACUGAGGGUCUUGAGUUCGGGAGAGGUGAGUGGAACUGCGAGUGUAGAGGUGAAAUUCGUAGAUAUUCGCAAGAACACCAGUGGCGAAGGCGGCUCACUGGCCCGAUACUGACGCUGAGGUGCGAAAGCGUGGGGAGCAAACAGG